This is a non-coding RNA of Paralichthys olivaceus (Japanese flounder), 544 nucleotides long. The record is from RefSeq and is a predicted model, not a curated record. Lineage: Eukaryota; Metazoa; Chordata; Actinopteri; Pleuronectiformes; Paralichthyidae.
CUGAAUCAAACACUCCGAACUCCAGAACACGACAACACACGUUUCCGGUGAAACGCUCUUCUUCUUUGGUGUUACUACGGUCCUGUCUGAUGGAUGGAACGUGCUGUUCUCUCCCUCUCUCUCUUGCUCUCUGAGCUACUUCAGAGUUAUUCCUUGUCUUCGGCAAAAAACCUAAAAAAUGUAAACAACUGCCUCCGACAAAAGAUGAAGACUGAGUGGGUGUGAUGACAUUGACCACAGAACAUAUGGAAGUUGUUUUUUUACUUUUUAUUAUUUUUUUGUUUUUUUUGUUUUAUUGUCACAUCUUAUCAGAUGUUAAAAAAUAAAGAGCAUUAUGUGUGGUACGGAUAAAAUAAAAAGGUCAUUAGGUGUGUAAUUAUUCCUUCAGUAAACCUUUUUAAAAAUAAUGACUUCUGUACAUUGUCAGCAAAAUAUGACAUAUUUUGCCUGUUAUUCAUAUAUUUAUUCAAUUUGAUCAUUUGAGUUACCCUAUUUGAUUGGACUGUGUUGAUUGUGUUAAAAAUAAAUAUAUAAGUGAAAUAUA